GAAACAUCUCUCUUUCUAGCAGCGUUUGCGAAUCGAAGACACCAACCAACAACGGAUACCAAGCGAGGCAAGUUGGAAAAUCUCUCGAACAAUGGUGACACUUCAGUCAUAGCAGUAACCAGGCAGUCAUUGUGAUAGGUGCUAUUCUUGAACGGGCAUACAACAUUUGUACGUGAGUGUGGCCUGUGGAAUCUUCACUUCGUAUGUACAACACCGCACCGUAAGCAACGCCCGAUGCAUCACAAAAUCCGUGCAACUGAAUAUUGCACGCCGAACUCAAUACUGUGUGACGACGAAUUUGGAAUGCGUUGAUUAUCGUGAGCUCUGACACAAACUUCGUCCACAAUGCAGCUAAAUCCGUCGAUACAGACUCAUCCCAGUCAUAGCCAUCGAUCCAAACGCGUUGCAAUAGAUGUUUAGCAGAAGUCAACACUGGAGCUAUAAAGCCCAAGGGGUCAUACACGGUUGCAAUGCACUGUAGCAUGGAGCGUUUUGAAACAAAUUCUUCAAUAAAUUUGUCGAUAACGAUGUUG
Molecule: long non-coding RNA, 533 nt
Organism: Armigeres subalbatus
Lineage: Eukaryota; Metazoa; Arthropoda; Insecta; Diptera; Culicidae
Exons: 2
Source: RefSeq, a predicted model, not a curated record